GCAGGUCCGUAUUGCCGCUCCUUCUUGAUAACUUCAAACGACGCAUAUCAACAAUGCCGCCUAAAAAGAAAAGCUCGGGUAAAAAGUCAGCCAAGGUCAAGUCUGCUGCGCUCAUAGAUGGACUCACCAAAGACGAGCUGUCAAAGGAGCAGG
Long non-coding RNA from Corythoichthys intestinalis (scribbled pipefish), 153 nucleotides. RefSeq lists it as uncharacterized. The record is from RefSeq and is a predicted model, not a curated record. NCBI's taxonomy places the organism in Eukaryota, Metazoa, Chordata, Actinopteri, Syngnathiformes, Syngnathidae. The transcript is spliced from 2 exons.